AACGCUAGCUACAGGCUUAACACAUGCAAGUCGAGGGGAAACGAUAUUGGAAGCUUGCUUCCGAUAGGCGUCGACCGGCGCACGGGUGAGUAACGCGUAUCCAACCUGCCCAUCACUUGGGGAUAACCUUGCGAAAGUAAGACUAAUACCCAAUGACGUCUCUAGAAGACAUCUGAAAGAGAUUAAAGAUUUAUCGGUGAUGGAUGGGGAUGCGUCUGAUUAGCUUGUUGGCGGGGUAACGGCCCACCAAGGCGACGAUCAGUAGGGGUUCUGAGAGGAAGGUCCCCCACAUUGGAACUGAGACACGGUCCAAACUCCUACGGGAGGCAGCAGUGAGGAAUAUUGGUCAAUGGACGAGAGUCUGAACCAGCCAAGUAGCGUGCAGGAAGACGGCCCUAUGGGUUGUAAACUGCUUUUAUAAGGGAAUAAAGUGAGUCUCGUGAGACUUUUUGCAUGUACCUUAUGAAUAAGGACCGGCUAAUUCCGUGCCAGCAGCCGCGGUAAUACGGAAGGUUCGGGCGUUAUCCGGAUUUAUUGGGUUUAAAGGGAGCGUAGGCCGGAGAUUAAGCGUGUUGUGAAAUGUAGAUGCUCAACAUCUGAACUGCAGCGCGAACUGGUUUCCUUGAGUACACACAAAGUGGGCGGAAUUCGUGGUGUAGCGGUGAAAUGCUUAGAUAUCACGAAGAACUCCGAUUG
RNAcentral lists this ribosomal RNA (696 nucleotides) under uncultured bacterium. RNAcentral describes it as "bacterial SSU rRNA". It matches the Rfam family "Bacterial small subunit ribosomal RNA", at positions 32 to 715 of the family's 1533-position model. The record is from RNAcentral.